This 490-nucleotide ribosomal RNA is filed under the name uncultured bacterium. Its description in RNAcentral is "partial 16S ribosomal RNA". It matches the Rfam family "Bacterial small subunit ribosomal RNA", at positions 30 to 507 of the family's 1533-position model. The record is from RNAcentral.
AUUGAACGCUGGCGGCAGGCCUAACACAUGCAAGUCGAACGGUAACAGGAAGCAGCUUGCUGCUUUGCUGACGAGUGGCGCACGGGUGAGUAAUGUCUGGGAAACUGCCUGAUGGAGGGGGAUAACUACUGGAAACGGUAGCUAAUACCGCAUAACGUCGCAAGACCAAAGAGGGGGACCUUCGGGCCUCUUGCCAUCGGAUGUGCCCAGAUGGGAUUAGCUAGUAGGUGGGGUAACGGCUCACCUAGGCGACGAUCCCUAGCUGGUCUGAGAGGAUGACCAGCCACACUGGAACUGAGACACGGUCCAGACUCCUACGGGAGGCAGCAGUGGGGAAUAUUGCACAAUGGGCGCAAGCCUGAUGCAGCCAUGCCGCGUGUAUGAAGAAGGCCUUCGGGUUGUAAAGUACUUUCAGCGGGGAGGAAGGGAGUAAAGUUAAUACCUUUGCUCAUUGACGUUACCCGCAGAAGAAGCACCGGCUAACUCCGUG